GACGAAGGUGGCGAGCGUUGUUCGGAAUCACUGGGCAUAAAGCGCACGUAGGCGGUGUCGUAAGUCGGAUGUGAAAUCCCUCGGCCUAACCGAGGAACUGCGUCCGAUACUGCGAUGCUUGAGGAUCAGAGGGGUGCAUGGAAUUUCCGGUGGAGCGGUGAAAUGCGUUGAUAUCGGAAGGAACUCCGGCGGCGAAGGCAGCUGGCUACACAAAUAUUGACACUGAGGCACGAAAGCGUGGGGAUCAAACAGG
Molecule: ribosomal RNA, 253 nt
Filed under: uncultured bacterium
Lineage: Bacteria
Description: partial 16S ribosomal RNA
Rfam family: Bacterial small subunit ribosomal RNA
Source: RNAcentral